RNAcentral lists this ribosomal RNA (229 nucleotides) under uncultured bacterium. RNAcentral describes it as "partial 16S ribosomal RNA". It matches the Rfam family "Bacterial small subunit ribosomal RNA", at positions 568 to 796 of the family's 1533-position model. The record is from RNAcentral.
UGCGUAGGCGGAUCAAUAAGUCAGUGGUGAAAUCUCUCGGCUCAACCGGGAAACUGCCAUUGAUACUGUUGAUCUUGAGUUCGGUUGAGGUAGGCGGAAUGUGUAAUGUAGCGGUGAAAUGCUUAGAUAUUACACAGAACACCAAUUGCGUAGGCAGCUUACUAGACCGACACUGACGCUGAGACACGAAAGCGUGGGGAGCGAACAGGAUUAGAUACCCUGGUAGUCC